CAAGCAAGCUACCAACCCUAACCCUUCUGCAAUACCACACCUCAAACCCCAAAAAUAAGAUUAGAUCUGAGACAAAUCUCCUCCACCUUCUUACAACCCUUCUUUGUGUCAAGAAUCCUCCACCUAAUCAGAGAUCACCAUAACCAAGGAAGCAAUAAGAAGGAAAACAAGAAAAAAUCUAGGCGCUAUAGAAAUCGAGCUGAACUUGAUCUUCGGCAUCUUCUUCUUUCCUCCACGUAACUGAGCUCUGAUCCAACUUGUUGAGAACCUCCGGUACAACCUAUAUACCUAAUCAGGAUCACCUUGUGUGGAACCUAGAUGUUAUUCCAGCAAACAACAAAGAAGAAGAAAGAAGGAUGCUAGGGUUUGGCGUUGGAACUAGAGGGGG
This 388-nucleotide long non-coding RNA is filed under the name Elaeis guineensis (African oil palm). RNAcentral's name for it is "long non-coding RNA (EGUI_LNC063480)". Lineage: Eukaryota; Viridiplantae; Streptophyta; Magnoliopsida; Arecales; Arecaceae. The record is from RNAcentral.